AGAUUAAGUUAUUAAGGGCGCACGGUGGAUGCCUUGGCACUAGAAGCCGAUGAAGGACGUUACUAACGACGAUAUGCUUUGGGGAGCUGUAAGUAAGCUUUGAUCCAGAGAUUUCCGAAUGGGGAAACCCAGCAUGAGUUAUGUCAUGUUAUCGAUAUGUGAAUACAUAGCAUAUCAGAAGGCACACCCGGAGAACUGAAACAUCUUAGUACCCGGAGGAAGAGAAAGAAAAUUCGAUUCCCUUAGUAGCGGCGAGCGAAACGGGAAGAGCCCAAACCAACAAGCUUGCUUGUUGGGGUUGUAGGACACUCUAUACGGAGUUACAAAGGACGACAUUAGACGAAUCAUCUGGAAAGAUGAAUCAAAGAAGGUAAUAAUCCUGUAGUCGAAAAUGUUGUCUCUCUUGAGUGGAUCCUGAGUACGACGGAGCACGUGAAAUUCCGUCGGAAUCUGGGAGGACCAUCUCCUAAGGCUAAAUACUCUCUAGUGACCGAUAGUGAACCAGUACCGUGAGGGAAAGGUGAAAAGCACCCCGGAAGGGGAGUGAAAUAGAACCUGAAACCGUGUGCUUACAAGUAGUCAGAGCCCGUUAAUGGGUGAUGGCGUGCCUUUUGUAGAAUGAACCGGCGAGUUACGAUUUGAUGCAAGGUUAAGCAGUAAAUGUGGAGCCGUAGCGAAAGCGAGUCUGAAUAGGGCGUUUAGUAUUUGGUCGUAGACCCGAAACCAGGUGAUCUACCCUUGGUCAGGUUGAAGUUCAGGUAACACUGAAUGGAGGACCGAACCGACUUACGUUGAAAAGUGAGCGGAUGAACUGAGGGUAGCGGAGAAAUUCCAAUCGAACCUGGAGAUAGCUGGUUCUCUCCGAAAUAGCUUUAGGGCUAGCCUCAAGUGAUGAUUAUUGGAGGUAGAGCACUGUUUGGACG
RNAcentral lists this ribosomal RNA (923 nucleotides) under Staphylococcus aureus. RNAcentral's name for it is "bacterial LSU rRNA". It matches the Rfam family "Bacterial large subunit ribosomal RNA", at positions 1 to 920 of the family's 2925-position model. The record is from RNAcentral. Lineage: Bacteria; Bacillati; Bacillota; Bacilli; Caryophanales; Staphylococcaceae.